RNAcentral lists this ribosomal RNA (449 nucleotides) under uncultured bacterium. Its description in RNAcentral is "bacterial SSU rRNA". It matches the Rfam family "Bacterial small subunit ribosomal RNA", at positions 46 to 507 of the family's 1533-position model. The record is from RNAcentral.
GCCUAACACAUGCAAGUCGAGCGAAUGAAGUUCCUUCGGGAACGGAUUUAGCGGCGGACGGGUGAGUAACACGUGGGCAACCUGCCUCAUAGAGGGAAUAGCCUUCGAAAGGGAGAUUAAUACCGCAUAAGAUUGUAGUACCGCAUGGUACAGCAAUUAAAGGAGCAAUCCGCUAUGAGAUGGGCCCGCGGCGCAUUAGCUAGUUGGUGAGGUAACGGCUCACCAAGGCGACGAUGCGUAGCCGACCUGAGAGGGUGAUCGGCCACAUUGGGACUGAGACACGGCCCAGACUCCUACGGGAGGCAGCAGUGGGGAAUAUUGCGCAAUGGGCGAAAGCCUGACGCAGCCACGCCGCGUGAGUGAUGAAGGCCUUCGGGUCGUAAAACUCUUUCAGCAGGGACGAAGCGAAAGUGACGGUACCUGCAGAAGAAGCACCGGCUAACUACGUG